GUUUGAUCAAUGUUCUGCUUGCCUGGUGGUACCACCUAAAUUCUCAUUUGCAGCUGUCACUUUUUAGGGAAUUGCAAACUCUCAGAUCAUUAAAGUGGCAUGCCAUGUGACUCACAUUUGACAGACAAUCGCUUACUAAAAAUAUCUGUCCUGAUCAGUGCUGAUGUUCUAAAAGGAUAUUUUCAGCUUCUUGUUCUCUCUGCCUUUCUGUGAUGACACUGUACCCGGUGAGUUAAAAGCAACAGAAGAAAGAGCAUCAUUAAAGGCAGCAGGUUAUUGUAGAACAUGGCCUGCCAAUGGGGAUUUGGGUCGGAAGCAGGAGCUCAUGCAGCCCUGUAAAGAUCCAUGCAUCAAGAAGAGCUACAUCCAAGGAAACUCAUCCAUGCCUGGACUUAAUUUAUAUAAUGAAAUUCUGAACUUUCAAUAGAUGCUGUAAUAGGAUGAGAGUUUUGGAGAUCUUGGGAGGGAAUGAAUGUGUUUUGCAUGGGGAAGGGACAUGAAUCACUGAAGCCCAGAUGAUGGACAAUGGCUGACAGACUCUAAAAAUGGCCCCAUGAUCUCCACCUCCUGGUAUCCAUACCUCUACAAUCCCUUCCCCUUAUUCAAUAGAGUACAAAAGAAGGAUAGGAUUUCACUUCUGUUAUUACAUUACAUACAACUGUAGUACCUGUCUUGCUGGAAGACUUCCCCUUUCCUGGCUUUAAAGAAAAAAGUUACAAAUUGUGAACAGCUGUCCCCUGUAGAAGCCAUGUUACAAUGAACUGAGGAAAGCCACCGGCCAACAUCCAGCAAGAAUCUGAGGCCCUCAGUCCGCAUUCCUCAAGAAACUGAAUGCUGCUGACAAAAAUACAAGAGGAAGUGGAUCCAUCCCCAAUCAAGCCUCCAGAAAAGAACACGGUCUUGGCCAAAACCUUGAUGGUAACCUUGGAGAAGACUCAGCUAAGCUGUGCCUGGAUUUCUGACUCACUGAAACUGUGGGAUAAUAAAUGUGUGUUAUUUUCAGCCAAUAAAUUUGCAGUAAUGUUAUUAUGCAGCAAAAGUUAACUAAUUUAUUAUCUUUCAGUACCUUAUCCUUGAUUGAUGUUUGUUCUGUAUAAAAUUGCAUACUUAAAAUAUAUAAUUUUUACUCAAAAUUUUGAAAAAUAAUAGUAUCUUCUAACCCAUAAUGUUGAUAUUUAGAAAUCUGAUACAUUAUAAUUUUUGAACCCUUGUAUCUGGUCUCUCUCUUUUUUUCCUAUUAUAAGCCUCUAGGAUUUUUGCUUGAUGCCAAAUGUUUAAAAAGGUAAUGUUCAUUGAUGCAGGUCAUUUGGGUGGCCUCUGCCAAUUUAGAAACAGAUGUCCAUCAGUU
Molecule: long non-coding RNA, 1348 nt
Filed under: Homo sapiens (human)
Lineage: Eukaryota; Metazoa; Chordata; Mammalia; Primates; Hominidae
Description: HSALNT0292996
Source: RNAcentral